GAUGAACGCUGGCGGCGUGCUUAACACAUGCAAGUCGAACGGUGAAGGCGGAGCUUGCUCUGCUGGAUCAGUGGCGAACGGGUGAGUAACACGUGAGCAAUCUGCCCCUGACUCUGGGAUAAGCGCUGGAAACGGCGUCUAAUACUGGAUACGAGCUGCGAAGGCAUCUUCAGCAGCUGGAAAGAACUUCGGUCAGGGAUGAGCUCGCGGCCUAUCAGCUUGUUGGUGAGGUAACGGCUCACCAAGGCGUCGACGGGUAGCCGGCCUGAGAGGGUGACCGGCCACACUGGGACUGAGACACGGCCCAGACUCCUACGGGAGGCAGCAGUGGGGAAUAGUGCACAAUGGGCGAAAGCCUGAUGCAGCAGCGCCGCGUGAGGGACGACGGCCUUCGGGUUGUAAACCUCUUUUAGCAGGGAAGAAGCGAAAGUGACGGUACCUGCAGAAAAAGCGCCGGCUAACUACGUG
RNAcentral lists this ribosomal RNA (468 nucleotides) under uncultured bacterium. Its description in RNAcentral is "partial 16S ribosomal RNA". It matches the Rfam family "Bacterial small subunit ribosomal RNA", at positions 28 to 507 of the family's 1533-position model. The record is from RNAcentral.